CCCUCCCCCAGUGGCCGGGCGGCCCCAGCCCCGGCCCCAGCCCCGGUCCACGCUGGUUGGUCCCCCGAUCGAGAGUGCCAGAAGAGACAUGAAAGAGGCAACAGAUGCCACUUCAGUAGCAGAGCAUCAUGGGAGCCCAGCCGGCUUGCUCCUGUUCCAGCGUUCAAACCCAAAGGGAAGGGAAACUUCAUGAAGACGAGGAUUUUUCCCUGUUCUGUUCUUUGCAGCAUCUCUAUUACCCCAGCAAGAAGAUCAAACUGCUGCUGCUGCUGCUAAGUCGCUUCAGUCGUGUCUGACUCUGUGCGACCCCAUAGAUGGCAGCCCACCAGGCUUCCCCAUCCCUGAGAUUCUCCUGGCAAGAACACUGGAGUGGGUU
RNAcentral lists this long non-coding RNA (376 nucleotides) under Bos indicus x Bos taurus (hybrid cattle). RNAcentral describes it as "lncRNA (ENSBIXG00005018180.1)". Lineage: Eukaryota; Metazoa; Chordata; Mammalia; Artiodactyla; Bovidae. The record is from RNAcentral.